This 467-nucleotide ribosomal RNA is filed under the name uncultured bacterium. Its description in RNAcentral is "partial 16S ribosomal RNA". It matches the Rfam family "Bacterial small subunit ribosomal RNA", at positions 28 to 506 of the family's 1533-position model. The record is from RNAcentral.
GACGAACGCUGGCGGCGUGCUUAGCACAUGCAAGUCGAACGGAAAGGCCCUGCUUUUGUGGGGUGCUCGAGUGGCGAACGGGUGAGUAACACGUGAGUAACCUGCCCUUGACUUUGGGAUAACUUCAGGAAACUGGGGCUAAUACCGGAUAGGAUCUCCUGCUGCAUGGUGGGGGUUGGAAAGUUUCGGCGGUUGGGGAUGGACUCGCGGCUUAUCAGCUUGUUGGUGGGGUAGUGGCUUACCAAGGAUUGGACGGGUAGCCGGCCUGAGAGGGGGACCGGCCACAGUGGGACUGAGAGACGGCCCAGACGGCUACGGGAGGCAGGAGUGGGGAAUAUUGCACAAGGGGCGGAAGCCGGAGGGAGCAACGCCGGGUGCGGGAUGACGGCUUUCGGGGUGUAAACCGCUUUCGCCUGUGACGAAGCGUGAGGGACGGUAAUGGGUAAAGAAGCACGGGCUAAUUACGU